RNAcentral lists this transfer RNA (65 nucleotides) under Dipodomys ordii (Ord's kangaroo rat). It matches the Rfam family "tRNA". From Rfam's summary of the family: Transfer RNA (tRNA) molecules are approximately 80 nucleotides in length. Lineage: Eukaryota; Metazoa; Chordata; Mammalia; Rodentia; Heteromyidae. The record is from Rfam by way of RNAcentral.
GGUGGCUUAGUGGUAGAGUGCUUGCCUUACAUGCAUGAGGCCCUGAGUUUGAUUCCUCAGCACCA